Molecule: transfer RNA, 74 nt
Filed under: Candidatus Giovannonibacteria bacterium RIFCSPHIGHO2_02_43_16
Lineage: Bacteria; Candidatus Giovannoniibacteriota
Also listed under: 2 other names
Description: tRNA-Pro
Rfam family: tRNA
About the family: Transfer RNA (tRNA) molecules are approximately 80 nucleotides in length. Their secondary structure includes four short double-helical elements and three loops (D, anti-codon, and T loops).
Source: RNAcentral
CGGGCUGUAGUAUAGAGGUAGUACACAAGGCUGGGGGUCUUGUAGCCGGGGUCCGAUUCCCCGCAGCCCGACAA